This 436-nucleotide ribosomal RNA is filed under the name uncultured bacterium. RNAcentral's name for it is "bacterial SSU rRNA". It matches the Rfam family "Bacterial small subunit ribosomal RNA", at positions 355 to 787 of the family's 1533-position model. The record is from RNAcentral.
UGAGGAAUAUUGGGUCAAUGGGCGGGAGCCUGAACCAGCCAAGCCGCGUGAGGGAUGAAGGCCCUAUGGGUCGUAAACCUCUUUUGUCAGGGAACAAAAGCGAGUAUGUAUACUAGUCUGAGUGUACCUGAAGAAAAACGCAUCGGCUAACUCCGUGCCAGCAGCCGCGGUAAUACGGAGGAUGCGAGCGUUAUCCGGAUUUAUUGGGUUUAAAGGGUGCGUAGGCGGCGGUGCAAGUCAGCGGUAAAAGCCCGGGGCUCAACCCCGGCGAGCCGUUGAAACUGCAGUGCUAGAGAAGGCGAGAGGUACGCGGAAUGCGCAGUGUAGCGGUGAAAUGCUUAGAUAUUGCGCAGAACUCCGAUUGCGAAGGCAGCGUACUGGCGCCUGACUGACGCUGAGGCACGAAAGCGUGGGGAUCGAACAGGAUUAGAUACCC